GCAAACAGAUUUUAACAAUACUAUAUAUAUAUUCAAAAUAAUUACACAUUAAUUAAAGGUAAACGGGCAAGAAGCUACGCUACUAGUCCUUUCUGAAUGACAUAGACAAUCCUUUUGAAAAUUACACCCAUAGACCUAGGAGAGACAACAUUGUUAACAUCUGAUUGAAUAUUCAGAAGUAAAAUGCUCAUAUAAUUCCAAAGUCACAACACCGAUGAUUUUUUAAGAGAACCGUGAAACAAAUAGAUUGUUAUUGAAUAUCGGAAUAUUUCAUAAAUGGUAUAGUGGUGGCUUUACAAUGCAUUUUGUUAAUGAAUUUCUCGUAGAAUAAAGAAAUAGACACAUGAAUCACCAACUCAAUCUGCAAACAAUUCUGUGUUUGUAGCCGUCAGAUGUCAAUCGCGAAUACCCUUUCUCUGUCUAAUCGUGUACUAUUACAUGAAUUCUUCAACAAGAGGCUGAUAGAACAACUUGUAUGCCUCCAUAACUUCAAGAUACCACAUUGCUUCUCGAUCG
This 516-nucleotide long non-coding RNA is filed under the name Trifolium pratense (red clover). RNAcentral's name for it is "long non-coding RNA (TPRA_LNC007623)". The record is from RNAcentral. Lineage: Eukaryota; Viridiplantae; Streptophyta; Magnoliopsida; Fabales; Fabaceae.